Molecule: ribosomal RNA, 305 nt
Filed under: uncultured bacterium
Lineage: Bacteria
Description: bacterial SSU rRNA
Rfam family: Bacterial small subunit ribosomal RNA
Source: RNAcentral
CUCCUACGGGGGGCAGCAGUGAGGAAUAUUGGUCAAUGGGCGAGAGCCUGAACCAGCCAAGUCGCGUGAGGGAAGACGGUCCUAUGGAUUGUAAACCUCUUUUGCCGGGGAGCAAAAAACGGUACGUGUACCGCAUCGAGAGUACCCGGAGAAAAAGCAUCGGCUAACUCCGUGCCAGCAGCCGCGGUAAUAUGGAGGAUGCGAGCGUUAUCCGGAUUUAUUGGGUUUAAAGGGUGCGCAGGCGGCGAGUUAAGUCAGCGGUAAAAUUUCGGGGCUCAACCCCGACAAGCCGUUGAAACUGGCUU